Molecule: long non-coding RNA, 1275 nt
Filed under: Capra hircus (goat)
Lineage: Eukaryota; Metazoa; Chordata; Mammalia; Artiodactyla; Bovidae
Description: lncRNA (ENSCHIG00010016834.1)
Source: RNAcentral
GACGAAGAGUUAAUAUCCACCCCACCCAGGCUAAAACAGCUACUAUCCAGGUCACUGACAAUUCCAGGAGGGGGCAGAUAAAGGGCAAUUCAUUCAUUCAUCCAACCAUUCUACAGGCAUUCCCUGUGGACUGUGCCAAACACUGUGCUGAAUGCUUGAUGUGCAGGACAGUGAUCAAGAUCUGGUACCCUCUUCAAGAAGACCUCAGUCUAGUGGGGGCAGGGUCCUGUCCUGCAAGGCAAAGUGCUCUUGCCAUCAGACUGGGGUGCUGGGGAAACUUUCCUGGAGGAGUGAUAUGUAAUAAUGUUGAAAGGAAAACAGAAGUUUGGCACAUUAAGGAAAAGGGGCAUUCACAGGUGCAAGGAAAAUCUCCGGAAAAAAUACAAACAUAACAUGGCUUAGCGGAGGAAAGGGUCUGACUCUCUCUGGAGCAAAAUGCUUCUCUAAGAGAAUAGUUCCCUGGAAGGGGACAUGGCAACCAACUCCAGUAUUCUUGCAGGGAAAAUCCCAUGGUCAAGGAGCCUGGAAGGCUACAGUCCAUGGGGUUGCAAAGAGUCAGACAUGACUGAAGCGAGUAUAAGGGGAACAGUCAGAGUUGAGAAGGAAGUGAACCACAAAAGGCCCUUUGAACUAAGAAACCUAGGCUUCAUCCUGAUGUGGGGACACUGAAGAUUUUGAGCAGAAGAAUGACAUAAUAGAGCAAAUCCACUGGCAUGGUUAGAGAAACAGGUUGUGAUGCAAGAUGUGGGUCAGUCCCACACACACAACACUGUUGUCACGGACACUGAGAGCUGGUUAACAAGUGAGGGUCGAGAGCAAUCUCAGGGCCAAGAAGGAGUGCCCACAAUCCUGUCCAAGGAGAGAGGGAACAGGUUCUACCAGGAAGAGACAGGCCCAGGGAGAGGAGACAGACACGACACAGACUUAUGUACACAUAUCACAUGUACACACGUACAUACGAAGGCAAUACGAGGCUCAAAGCCUAAAUCUGGGGAAACUGAUCUGUGGUUUUCACUGUUUCUCGAUCGUAACACAAAACUCACCUCUUCCAAGAAGAAUUUUCCAGUUGCUUCUUUUCUCUGCCUCCCAUUACACUGGUGACUCUUUUUUCCAAAUGCAUAUUCCUCUGCCCUCCCCACGGCCUCCCCUCCCAUAUCCUCUCACACACGCAUUAAAAGACGUUGCUUCAGAUCACAUGUUCCCAAGGGAAUGGUGACCCAGAAGCCUGUGAAGAGAAGACGACAUUGCAGGAGACAAGAUGAAAACCUCUGGACG